This 493-nucleotide ribosomal RNA is filed under the name uncultured bacterium. Its description in RNAcentral is "bacterial SSU rRNA". It matches the Rfam family "Bacterial small subunit ribosomal RNA", at positions 903 to 1397 of the family's 1533-position model. The record is from RNAcentral.
AAAUGAAUUGACGGGGGCCCGCACAAGCGGUGGAGCAUGUGGUUCAAUUCGACGCAACGCGAAGAACCUUACCCAGGCUCGAACGGUAGUGGACAUCCGGCGAAAGUCGGCUCCCGCAAGGGCCGCUAUCGAGGUGCUGCAUGGCUGUCGUCAGCUCGUGUCGUGAGAUGUUGGGUUAAGUCCCGCAACGAGCGCAACCCUUGUCCGCUGUUGCCAUCAGGUAAUGCUGGGCACUCUGCGGAGACUGCCGGUGAUAAACCGGAGGAAGGUGGGGAUGACGUCAAGUCAGCAUGGCCUUUAUGUCUGGGGCUACACACGUGCUACAAUGGCCGGUACAAACCGUCGCGAUACCGUGAGGUGGAGCUAAUCGGACAAAGCCGGUCUCAGUUCGGAUUGCAGGCUGCAACUCGCCUGCAUGAAGUUGGAAUCGCUAGUAAUCGCGGAUCAGCACGCCGCGGUGAAUACGUUCCCGGGCCUUGUACACACCGCCCGU